This 208-nucleotide unclassified non-coding RNA is filed under the name Hevea brasiliensis (rubber tree). Lineage: Eukaryota; Viridiplantae; Streptophyta; Magnoliopsida; Malpighiales; Euphorbiaceae. The record is from RNAcentral.
GUCAAAGUAGCCUUCCCAGAACCUGCAACUCCAAAAGAAGGGAAAAAGAGAACUUAUCCAAUUCGGGAGACAGAUUAAAAAGAAACUCCAUUUGUUAUAAAAGUAAAGUGACAGAAAGUCAGGAAAGAUUGAAAAAAGAAUACAAUGAUAAAUGAAAUACUGCAAGGAAUAACCAAUAACACGUACCUUAGCUCCUCCCAUAUGGACA